GACGUAGGGCGCGAGCGUUGUCCGGAAUUAUUGGGCGUAAAGAGCUCGUAGGCGGUUUGUCGCGUCUGCUGUGAAAUCCCGAGGCUCAACCUCGGGCCUGCAGUGGGUACGGGCAGACUGGAGUGCGGUAGGGGAGAAUGGAAUUCCUGGUGUAGCGGUGGAAUGCGCAGAUAUCAGGAGGAACACCGAUGGCGAAGGCAGUUCUCUGGGCCGUAACUGACGCUGAGGAGCGAAAGCGUGGGGAGCGGACAGG
Molecule: ribosomal RNA, 253 nt
Filed under: uncultured bacterium
Lineage: Bacteria
Description: partial 16S ribosomal RNA
Rfam family: Bacterial small subunit ribosomal RNA
Source: RNAcentral